UACAGAGGGUGCAAGCGUUAAUCGGAAUUACUGGGCGUAAAGCGCACGUAGGCGGACGAAUAAGUCGGAUGUGAAAUCCCCGGGCUCAACCUGGGAACUGCACUCGAUACUGUUAGUCUAGAGUAUGAUAGAGGAAAGUGGAAUUCCCGGUGUAGCGGUGAAAUGCGUAGAGAUGUGGAGGAACACCAGUGGCGAAGGCGGCUUUCUGGUCUGUAACUGACGCUGAGGCGCGAAAGCGUGGGGAGCAAACAGG
This 253-nucleotide ribosomal RNA is filed under the name uncultured bacterium. RNAcentral's name for it is "partial 16S ribosomal RNA". It matches the Rfam family "Bacterial small subunit ribosomal RNA", at positions 524 to 776 of the family's 1533-position model. The record is from RNAcentral.